GAUCCUGGCUCAGAACGAACGCUGGCGGCGCGUUUAAGCAUGCAAGUCGAGCGGCAAGGGCCUUCGGGCCCCUAGAGCGGCAGACGGGUGAGUAACACGUGGACAAUCUGCCCCCCGGCCCGGGAUAGCCCAGGGAAACCUGGAUUAAUACCGGAUGAGACGGGACCCGCGAUGGCGGGACCCGGGAAAGGCGCUGCGGCGCCGCCGGGGGAUGAGUCUGCGUCCCAUUAGCUAGACGGCGGGGUAACGGCCCACCGUGGCGACGAUGGGUAGCCGGCCUGAGAGGGUGGACGGCCACAUUGGAACUGAGACACGGUCCAGACUCCUACGGGAGGCAGCAGCUAAGAAUCUUCCGCAAUGGGCGAAAGCCUGACGGAGCCGACGCCGCGUGAACGAAGAAGGCCGUGAGGUUGUAAAGUUCUUUUCGGGAGGGGGAACAACCGUGGCAGGGAAUGGCCGCGGGAUGACGUGAAUCCCGGAAUAAGCCCCGGCUAACUACGUGCCAGCCGCUGC
RNAcentral lists this ribosomal RNA (513 nucleotides) under uncultured bacterium. RNAcentral describes it as "bacterial SSU rRNA". It matches the Rfam family "Bacterial small subunit ribosomal RNA", at positions 15 to 518 of the family's 1533-position model. The record is from RNAcentral.